Molecule: ribosomal RNA, 563 nt
Filed under: uncultured Gammaproteobacteria bacterium
Lineage: Bacteria; Pseudomonadati; Pseudomonadota; Gammaproteobacteria
Description: SSU rRNA
Rfam family: Bacterial small subunit ribosomal RNA
Source: RNAcentral
AUAUUGGACAAUGGGGGCAACCCCGAUCCAGCAAUGCCGCGUGUGUGAAGAAGGCCUUCGGGUUGUAAAGCACUUUAGGCUGGGAAGAAGAUGUAUUGUUUAAGAGAUGAUACGUUUGACUGUACCAGCAGAAUAAGCACCGGCUAACUCUGUGCCAGCAGCCGCGGUAAUACAGAGGGUGCGAGCGUUAAUCGGAGUUACUGGGCGUAAAGGGCGCGUAGGCGGAUAUUUAAGAUGGGUGUGAAAUCCCUGGGCUUAACCUAGGAAUUGCAUUCAAGACUGGAUAACUGGAGUACUGUAGAGGGUAGUGGAAUUUCCGGUGUAGCGGUGAAAUGCGUAGAGAUCGGAAGGAACACCAGUGGCGAAGGCGGCUACCUGGACAGAUACUGACGCUGAGGCGCGAGAGCGUGGGGAGCAAACAGGAUUAGAUACCCUGGUAGUCCACGCUGUAAACGAUGAGAACUAGAUGUUGUUAGGCAUAGACCUAUUAGUAUCGAAGCUAACGCGAUAAGUUCUCCGCCUGGGGAGUACGGCCGCAAGGUUAAAACUCAAAGGAAUUGACG